AUUAUUUUAGCCUUGGAAUAUGGUUCGGUUAUGUGAAAAUUCAAUCCAAAUUGUUGUGUCAGCUAACCAAUCAGUACAAUCGAUCAAUUAUACACAAUUUCUAAAUUUUCUUGUCUGCAAUGACUUGUUUUUGCUUAAAUUGUAUAAAAAAAAAAAAAAAAAACACUUUCUAACUGUUAAAACAAUUUUUUUGGAUUAAAAAAAAAAUGGCUCUUUCACGCCACUUUAGAGAAUAUUUAUUAGGUGUGCGUCGGGAUGAUUGGCAAG
Molecule: long non-coding RNA, 267 nt
Filed under: Citrus sinensis (sweet orange)
Lineage: Eukaryota; Viridiplantae; Streptophyta; Magnoliopsida; Sapindales; Rutaceae
Description: long non-coding RNA (CSIN_LNC002078)
Source: RNAcentral